UUUGAAAUAUAUACAAAAAAUGUUAUAAUAAGAACGUUAAAAAUAACUAUGAUGAUAAACGUCGUGAGUAAUAGGUACUGUGGACUCGGGGGCGGAGCCCGACACUUCCACCAGGUUUAUGGGAGUGAAUAGAUUCGACAUGGGCUGAAAGGCAUGGCUUUCAUUCGGAGUGGUUUCCGUUAUAAAACCAAUAAAUAUAAAUGCGAACGAUAAUUUAUUCGCAUGCAACGACAACUUUGAUGCGGUAGCUUUGGCAGCCUAAUCAAAGGUAAGUAGACGCGGUUCGGGAGCGCCGGGCAACAGAAGCUC
RNAcentral lists this transfer-messenger RNA (309 nucleotides) under bovine gut metagenome. RNAcentral's name for it is "Alphaproteobacteria transfer-messenger RNA". It matches the Rfam family "Alphaproteobacteria transfer-messenger RNA". From Rfam's summary of the family: Bacterial tmRNA, also known as 10Sa RNA or SsrA, is named for its dual tRNA and mRNA-like properties. The record is from RNAcentral.